This 76-nucleotide transfer RNA is filed under the name Candidatus Theseobacter exili. Its description in RNAcentral is "tRNA-Ile". It matches the Rfam family "tRNA". From Rfam's summary of the family: Transfer RNA (tRNA) molecules are approximately 80 nucleotides in length. Lineage: Bacteria; Pseudomonadati; Candidatus Auribacterota; Candidatus Auribacteria; Candidatus Theseobacterales; Candidatus Theseobacteraceae. The record is from RNAcentral.
GGGCCCAUGGCUCAACGGUUAGAGCAGUGGACUCAUAAUCCAUUGGUUCGGGGUUCGAAUCCCUGUGGGCCCACCA